CAGGAUACACAUCAGUUAAGAAAGGAGCAGACCCGUUUGGCCAUGGCAUGGUGUCUAUUCCAAUAUUCCGGUCCACAUCAGUUGACAUAGCGCUAGUCGCUCGGGAAAAGAAAAUCAAAUAACAGUGAAAAACAAGCAGAAGCUGGUGGAUCCCACAAAGAAAUGCAGCGGCAAGAAAUGAAGGUUGCCGUAUGUCAUUCUGAUGAUAUGUAGCAUGCUAAGAGC
Molecule: long non-coding RNA, 225 nt
Filed under: Hordeum vulgare
Lineage: Eukaryota; Viridiplantae; Streptophyta; Magnoliopsida; Poales; Poaceae
Description: long non-coding RNA (HVUL_LNC010639)
Source: RNAcentral